CAUUUUACGAGGUGCUGCAUGGUGUCGUCAGCUCGUGCCGUGAGGUGUCGGGUUAAGUCCCAUAACGAGCGCAACCCCACCUUUACGUUGCCAUCAGGUAAUGCUGGGGACGUCUAAAGGAACUGCCUACGCAAGUAGUGAGGAAGGCGGGGAUGACGUCAAAUCAGCACGGCCCUUACGUCCAGGGCUACACACGUGCUACAAUGGCCGAUACAGAGGGCAGCUACCUGGUGACAGGAUGCAAAUCUCCAAAGUCGGUCUCAGUUCGGAUCGGAGUCUGCAACCCGACUCCGUGAAGUUGGAUUCGCUAGUAAUCGCGCAUCAGCCAUGGCGCGGUGAAUACGUUCCCGGGCCUU
This 356-nucleotide ribosomal RNA is filed under the name uncultured Sphingobacteriales bacterium. RNAcentral's name for it is "bacterial SSU rRNA". It matches the Rfam family "Bacterial small subunit ribosomal RNA", at positions 1027 to 1382 of the family's 1533-position model. Lineage: Bacteria; Pseudomonadati; Bacteroidota; Sphingobacteriia; Sphingobacteriales. The record is from RNAcentral.